CACGUAGGGCGCAAGCGUUGUCCGGAAUUAUUGGGCGUAAAGAGCUCGUAGGCGGUCUGUUGCGUCCGCUGUGAAAACCCGGGGCUUAACCCCUGGCUUGCAGUGGAUACGGACAGACUAGAGGUAGGUAGGGGAGAAUGGAAUUCCCGGUGUAGCGGUGAAAUGCGCAGAUAUCGGGAGGAACACCGGUGGCGAAGGCGGGUCUCUGGACAGUUCCUGACGCUGAGGCACGAAGGUCAGGGGAGCAAACGGG
RNAcentral lists this ribosomal RNA (253 nucleotides) under uncultured bacterium. RNAcentral's name for it is "partial 16S ribosomal RNA". It matches the Rfam family "Bacterial small subunit ribosomal RNA", at positions 524 to 776 of the family's 1533-position model. The record is from RNAcentral.